AGUGGAUGGGGAGCAACCUAUGUUGUGCGUGUGUAAAGGUAGUGCCAAGAAAAGCGAUGAUCAUGUUGAAAAUCAAUUCCCGGUACCCGAAACCGACACAGGUGGGCAAGUAGAGAAUACUAAGGGGCGCGAGGUAACUCUCUCCAAGGAACUCGGCAAAAUGACCCCGUAACUUAGGGAGAAGGGGUGCCACCGAGAGGUGGUCGCAGUGAAGAGGCCCAGGCGACUGUUUAGCAAAAACAUAGGUCUCUGCAAACUCGAAAGAGGAGGUAUAGGGGCUGACGCCUGCCCAGUGCCGGAAGGUUAAAGAAGUUGGUCAGUUUUAGGAUGAAGCUAGCGACUGAAGCCCCGGUGAACGGCGGCCGUAACUAUAACGGUCCUAAGGUAGCGAAAUUCCUUGUCGGGUAAGUUCCGACCCGCACGAAAGGCGUAACGAUCUGGGCGCUGUCUCGGAGAGAGGCUCGUCGAAAUAGGAUUGUCUGUGAAGAUACGGACUACCUGCAUUUGGACAGAAAGACCCUAUGAAGCUUUACUAUAGCUUGGAAUUGUGUUCGGGCUUCCUGUGCGCAGGAUAGGUGGGAGGCGUAGAAGGUAUUCUUGUGGGGAUACUGGAGCCAACGGUGAGAUACCACUCUCAGGAGGCUAGAAUUCUAACUUAAUUAAGGACAGUUUCAGGUGGGUAGUUUGACUGGGGCGGUCGCCUCCAAAAAGGUAACGGAGGCGUACAAAGGUUCCCUCAGACUGGUUGGAAAUCAGUCGAAGAGUGCAAAGGCAGAAGGGAGCUUGACUGCGAGAAGUACAGUUCGAGCAGGGUGGAAACACGGUCUUAGUGAUCCGACGGUGCUGUGUGGAAGGGCCGUCGCUCAACGGAUAAAAGUUACUCUAGGAUAACAGGCUGAUCUCCCCCAAGAGUUCACAUCGACGGGGAGGUUUGGCACCUCGAUGUCGGCUCAUCGCAACCUGGGGCGGAAGUACGUCCCAAGGGUUGGGCUGUUCGCCCAUUAAAGCGGUACGUGAGCUGGGUUCAGAACGUCGUGAGACAGUUCGGUCCAUAUCCGAUGUAGGCGUGAGAAUAUUGAGAGGAGCCUUCCUUAGUACGAGAGGACCGGGAAGGACGCACCGCUGGUGUACCUGUUAUGAUGCCAAUUGUAAACGCAGGGUAGCCAAGUGCGGAGAGGAUAACCGCUGAAAGCAUCUAAGUGGGAAGCCCACAUCAAGAUGAGUAUUCUGGUGUAAGGUCACGGGAAGACGACCCGUAAAUAGGCACGAGGUGGAAGUGCAGAGAUGUAUGAAGCCGAAGUGUACUAAUAGACCGUCGGCUUGAUC
Molecule: ribosomal RNA, 1326 nt
Filed under: metagenome
Description: bacterial LSU rRNA
Rfam family: Bacterial large subunit ribosomal RNA
Source: RNAcentral